Long non-coding RNA from Centruroides sculpturatus (bark scorpion), 589 nucleotides. RefSeq lists it as uncharacterized. The record is from RefSeq and is a predicted model, not a curated record. NCBI's taxonomy places the organism in Eukaryota, Metazoa, Arthropoda, Arachnida, Scorpiones, Buthidae. The transcript is spliced from 3 exons.
AUACGUCCUGUCAGAUAGGAUUGAACUAUUGAAACUCGUAUCUCCAGACAGGCUAUUAGAAAAGAAUUUAAAAAUUCCACCAAGAAAUUGUAGGCCUACUUAGUAGAUCAGCAUCGAAGUUCAAAUCCAUUCAUCUAUACAAUAUGUAGUCCCAUCAGAACACUAGGAGCAUUAUGUUGAAGAAUUGUACUGAGAAAUUGCCUAGACAUAAUGACAGAAUCGUAUCUAGUAGAGAGAUGAAGCUCCGAGAUGACAAACGACAAUUGUAGUACAUUGCCCAUAACCCCAUUACUAACGGGUCAAGUGACUAUACUGGAUGUUGGGAGUUGAAGUGACAGGGAAUGAAUAUAGUGAUUUACAUAAUAAAAGAAAUGAUGUUUUAGUUAUGCAUGCGGAAACGAAGACAAUUUAAAAUUUUUCCUGUACUAAAAUAGUCAAUAGAGGAAAAAAGUAGUGUUUUAAAGUGUAUAAUUAUUUUGUUUAUAAUUUUUUAAUAUUAAUAUCUCGAUUAAAAAUUUAUCCACCAUUUAAUAUUUAUAAUAUUAACAUAUUAUCGAAUAAUAUUCAAAUGAAGAAGGAAUGAAACCAA